CAUGACAUCUCUUCCAAGUGGCUGCAUCAGAAACCUUACAUCAUUGACGGAAUUACAAAUUAUAUUAUGCAGACAACUCCAAUCUCUUCCGGGGGAUGAAAUGCAAUACCUACAAAUGCUUCGUUCGUUGACCAUUGAAGGGUGUUAUAAUUUGGCAUCCUUCCCUUUGGAAGUGGGCCGCCUCAAUUCUCUUUGUUUUCUACGGCUCUCACAAUGUCCAAGUAUAAUAUUGCAGCCAAAAGAACUCGUACAAAUCUUGAAUUCAGUACAUCGGUUUGAAAUACAAAUUUGUGGCAACAAAGUCAAUUUACGUGGGCGGCUGCAACACUUACACACGCUCAAAGAAUUGUCUCUAAGUGAUGCACAUUAUGUAUCAUCUAUCCGCAUGUACCCAAUUCGGUAUGGAAAUCCAAAAUCAACAUUACAUAUUUGUUGUUGUGGUGAAUUGGAGUCGCUGAUGACAGUAGAACCAGCAAGCAGUGCUGUGCUAGAAGCACUAUCCAUAGAUGGAAUUUCCAAUCUCAGGACCUUGCCUGGCUGGCUGCAACAUCUCAAGUCUCUUACUUUACUAUCAAUCAGGCAAUGCAUAAUCUCAAUAUUAAGUAUUUGUUGUGGUAAUGAAUUGGAGUCAUUGAUGACAGCAGAACCAGCAAGCAGUACUGUGCUAGAAAAACUAUAUAUAGAUGGAAUUUCUAAUCUCACGACCUUGCCCGACUGGCUGCAGCAUCUCAAGUCUCUUCGUUUACUAUCAAUCCGGGACUGCCCACGAUUAAAAAUGGUGCCAAGGGAUUUGAAGAAUCUACAUAUGUUGAAAGAUUUGAGGAUUAUCGGUUGCCCACAAUUGGAAAGAAGAUGCAAAAGGGAGACAGACGAAGAUUCAAUCGGACAAGCAUGCUGAAGAGGCCGAGGAUGAAGACUCGACAGAUGAAGACUCGGCAUAAGAUCAUGAAUCUAAAGUUGCGCUACUUAUGUGGAAGAAAGGACGAGUCACCAAAGAAGUGGUUUUGAAGGAGAGGAUUUUGAUAAAAAAAAAAAAGUACAACAAAUUGAUGGUUACAUACAACAAAAGAGGGAGGGUAAGCUGAAAAUUAAAGGAACUAAAGAGGAUAUACUUACCAAAGCGCUUGAGAUUGAAGAAUAUAAUGACCAUGUGAGGGGUAUUGGAGGUCAUAUCACUCCAACAAUAUAUUUCAAUUCUGGUAGAACAUGGAAGCAUGUUGAUGUAAUCACUGAGCAUAAAAGGGAACUGAUGGAGGCGAGGAAGAAAAUUUUAGAACAAGAUGCACGUAUACAAAACCUUGAAGUAAUGGUGUAUAAAAAGGGUGCAAGCGACAUUUCGAUUGAUGACAAAGACAGUUGCUCAGUAAAGUUGCAUCCAUGAUUGAAGAUGACAUGAAGAUCGAUGAUGAUGACCCACAAAUUUUGUGUCAAACUGAUGCUUUGUAGGUAUAACACUAGUUGCAGUUAUAUUAAUGGUGACCUAUAGAUUUUGUGACCUGCAACUUUUUCAUUUUAGGGAAAACCAGUUGCAUUGACAUUGGAAUCUAGCACAAAUAUUAUCGCACAUGGUACAAUUGUUUGUGGCAAUGUAUCUAAUAAAAUGCUUCAUGGUGUUCCAUUUCCCAAUAAUUGCAUGCGAGUCUCCAUUGAUGAAGCAGUAGAAAAAUCAACACCUUUGCCAUAUCCAAUUCCAAGUGAAUUUGAAGUAAUUAGUAAUGCUAUAGGAACGCAUGUGGUUUGGUCAAAACACUUGAUAGUGAACCAAGAUGAGGUAUUUGUUAUAUUAUAUUUCAAAUUAAAUUGUCACUUUUUUAUUAAUCAUCAUAUCUAACUUGUUUACAUUUGAAAUUAUUAGAAGCCUCGAAGGAAGAAGUUUGAACAACCAAAAAAGAAACAUACUUUGUCAACAUGUGUCCCAAGAGCAUUACAUAUGUUAUAUUGUUAUAGUAAGUGUGUUUUAGAUGAUGGCAGAUAUAUAUCAGUGAGUUUAGAUUAUGAACUAUUUGAUGAUGAUUAUGAACUUCUUCUGCACCUUGAGGACAUCAUUCCUUUAUAUCAUUUGGAGCCUCUUUUAGGCAAAUGUGCAGUUGGCUACAUAUGGUAAGUGAUUAGAUUUAGCAGGGUUACUAUAAUCAUGAUAAUCGCCCAUUUUUAGAAUAACUUUCAUUUCUAAAUCUACCUCUUCGUUUUAUUAUGUUUGCAAUGGUAGGUAUCUUUAUAAAAAAAUGCUGAAAGAUAACAAGAAAGAGAAAUUCAAAUUUGUGAAUCCACAUAAAAUCCCAUAU
RNA transcript from Zingiber officinale, 2285 nucleotides. RefSeq lists it as uncharacterized. The record is from RefSeq and is a predicted model, not a curated record. The transcript has 4 exons. Lineage: Eukaryota; Viridiplantae; Streptophyta; Magnoliopsida; Zingiberales; Zingiberaceae.